UUAGCAUGGAAUAAUAAAAUAGGACGUGUGGUUCUAUUUUGUUGGUUUCUAGGACCGCCGUAAUGAUUAAUAGGGACAGUCGGGGGCAUCAGUAUUCAAUUGUCAGAGGUGAAAUUCUUGGAUCUAUUGAAGACUAACUACUGCGAAAGCAUUUGCCAAGGAUGUUUUCAUUGAUAAGGAACGAAAGUUAGGGGAUCGAAGACGAUCAGAUACCGUCGUAGUCUUAACUAUAAACUAUGCCGACUAGGGAUCGGACGAUGUUAUCUUUUGACUCGUUCGGCACCUUUCGAGAAAUCAAAGUGCUUGGGCUCCAGGGGGAGUAUGGUCGCAAGGCUGAAACUUAAAGAAAUUGACGGAAGGGCACCACCAGGGGUGGAACCUGCGGCUUAAUUUGACUCAACACGGGGAGACUCACCAGGUCCAGACACAGUGAGGAUUGACAGAUUGAUAGCUCUUUCUUGAUUCUGUGGGUGGUGGUGCAUGGCCGUUCUUAGUUGGUGGAGUGAUUUGUCUGCUUAAUUGCGAUAACGAACGAGACCUUAACCUGCUAAAUAGCCCUUAUUGCUUCGGCAGUAUGCUGGCUUCUUAGAGGGACUAUCGGCUCAAGCCGAUGGAAGUUUGAGGCAAUAACAGGUUUGUGAUGCCCUUAGAUGUCCUGGGCCGCACGCGCGUUACACUGACAAAGCCAGCGAGUAUUUCCUUGGCCGGAAGGCCCGGGUAAUCUUGUUAAACUUUGUCGUGCUGGGGAUAGAGCAUUGCAAU
This 762-nucleotide ribosomal RNA is filed under the name uncultured Sordariomycetes. RNAcentral describes it as "SSU rRNA". It matches the Rfam family "Eukaryotic small subunit ribosomal RNA", at positions 804 to 1590 of the family's 1831-position model. The record is from RNAcentral. Lineage: Eukaryota; Fungi; Ascomycota; Sordariomycetes.